GUAGUCAUAUGCUUGUCUCAAAGAUUAAGCCAUGCAUGUCCAAGUAUAAACCACUUUGUACGGUGAAACUGCGAAUGGCUCAUUAUAUCAGUUAUUGUUUAUUUGAUGAUACCUUGCCACAUGGAUAACCGUGGUAAUUCUAGAGCUAAUACAUGCACGCCAGGCCCGACUUUUGCGGAAGGGCCGUGUUUAUUAGGUAAAAGCCAACCCGGGGCGACCCGGCCGCUGGUGAUUCAUGAUAACUUUGCGAACCGCAGCAGCCCUUUGCGGCGGCGGUGGAUCAUUCAAAUUUCUGCCCUAUCAACUUUCGACGGUAGGAUAGAGGCCUACCGUGGUGGCAACGGGUAACGGGGAAU
Molecule: ribosomal RNA, 356 nt
Filed under: uncultured fungus
Lineage: Eukaryota; Fungi
Description: SSU rRNA
Rfam family: Eukaryotic small subunit ribosomal RNA
Source: RNAcentral